Molecule: ribosomal RNA, 242 nt
Filed under: uncultured bacterium
Lineage: Bacteria
Description: partial 16S ribosomal RNA
Rfam family: Bacterial small subunit ribosomal RNA
Source: RNAcentral
UAGUCGAGCGGCGAACGGGUGAGUAACGCGUGGAUAACCUGCCCUGAGGUGGGGGAUAACCAAGGGAAACUUUGGCUAAUACCGCAUGAUACCGAGAGGUCAAAGGGGGCUCGCAAGGGCUCUCGCCAUAGGAGGGGUCCGCGUACGAUUAGCUAGUUGGUAGGGUAAUGGCCUACCAAGGCGACGAUCGUUAGCCGGCCUGAGAGGGUGAUCGGCCACACUGGAACUGAGACACGGUCCAG